Molecule: ribosomal RNA, 253 nt
Filed under: uncultured bacterium
Lineage: Bacteria
Description: partial 16S ribosomal RNA
Rfam family: Bacterial small subunit ribosomal RNA
Source: RNAcentral
UACGAACUGUGCAAACGUUAUUCGGAAUCACUGGGCUUACAGGGUGCGUAGGCGGCUUGUUAAGUAGGGUGUGAAAGCCCCCGGCUCAACCGGGGAAUUGCGCCCUAAACUGGCGAGCUGGAGUGAGAUAGGGGUGUGUGGAACUUCCGGUGGAGCGGUGAAAUGUGUUGAUAUCGGAAGGAACGCCGGUGGCGAAAGCGACACACUGGAUCUUGUCUGACGCUGAGGCACGAAAGCCAGGGGAGCGAACUGG